This 420-nucleotide long non-coding RNA is filed under the name Cyanistes caeruleus (blue tit). Its description in RNAcentral is "lncRNA (ENSCCEG00000013647.1)". The record is from RNAcentral. Lineage: Eukaryota; Metazoa; Chordata; Aves; Passeriformes; Paridae.
AACAAAACAUUUCCAAAUUUCAUAUCUUUUUUUUUUUCUUUUCUUUUUUUUCUUUUUUUUCUCUGAGAUGCAGACACUGGUGCAAUGCUGCCCCUGAACACAGGGUGAAACAAGGAUCUGGAAAUGAGUACAACCCGUGUCCAGCAGGGAUGCUGACAAGUAGAGGAAAGAGAAGGAAUGUGUGUGGAAAGGAUGGAAAGGCCAACAGGAGGAAAGAAAAAACAGUUGCAAAUGUUUUGAGAAUCCAUCAUCUUCCCAGGUUGAUGGUACAGCCCUCGUGACCCAGCUGUGAGUCACCAUUCCCAGCUGGGUGGCUCUGAAGAGAGACAAGAAGCUCAGAUGUGUCCCUGAUUCCCCACCAGCUCAGGCCAGGAACAUCUGUCUGCUCCUUCCCUUCCUUCAGACGGUCCCAAGGAGGGG